CUCUGGACAUUUUUCUGUGUUCCGGUGCUCCCUCACAUGGCUGAAUCACAGAGGAUAGCACUCGCUUCCUGCUACUGGAUCUUCACGGCAGGACAGAUGAAGAGCCCCAGCCCUAGCAGAUGGGCCUGGAUGGAGCAGGCAGAGAAUGACACCUUUAUCCUCACUGUAUAGAUAAUAAAAUGUGAGUCUUCACUUGGUCCCGUUAUAGCCUGAUUUUUCUCCUGGAGGGUUGGCAAAUCGCUUGCUUGGCACUGACUGCAUCUGUUCGCUUUUGAAAUUAAGCAAGUGCAUUUCCUCAUGCCCAUUCUUAGGAGGCCUUAGAGAAGUGGGGAAAAGGAGGAAACUGAGGCACAGAGAGCUAAAGCGUAUAAGUGAACACAUACCUGGUGGACCGCUUCCUCCUUCCAGGCCCCUGGCAGGCAAUGGUCACUAUUCAGUCACUGCACUCCUCCCCGUGACGCCAGAGCUGUGAGCAGCACGCAGCAGGGCCUGCAGGUUUUCCCCUCCAGCUGCUCUGUGCCUGCCGGUCCUUCCCUGGGUGCUUGAGCAAGGAGCCCGAGAGGAUGGGCCAAGAGCAGGAAAGAAGGGUCCCUGGAAAAUAUAAUGCCUGCUCCAAGCCUUCCUUGGGACAGCUGUAUGCUGCUCAGUGUGACCUCUUGUGCCCCAGCAGGCCAACCUAGAACGGUCUGUCCUCAGAGAGAUGGAGAGAAGACGCAAAGCUUAAGGCACAGGUGUAACAGAGUCACGUGGCGGAGGGUGUGGAUACUGGAGGAGAAGGAGAAUUGUGCGCAUUUCUGCACUCAGCCCACCAAAGUAGCCAGUGAAGCUACUAAGAAGUUUACAAGGAGUCGUGAGACUCUUGGAGGAAGGUAAAGGAGAAAAGACACCAUGCAGAGGAGUCCUGGGAUGGUCAUCCCCACUCGUUGAGUGCCCUAGAGCUGUGGUCUCCCAGGAGGGUUCUGUGAAGCCCUGGGGCAUGGAGUGGUUUCUUGGGACUACGAAGGAAAUGGGUGUGUGUAAGUGUGAGGAACUUUGGCUCCCCGCCCUAACUGGGGUAGCUCUGGUCUCUCUCUCUCUCUCUGGAGGUUUCCUUUGGAGAAAGAUCAUGCAGCUUUGAAAAAAAAUCUGAAGUCUAUGGGACCACAUCAACCUUUUAACCUCCUAGAAGAGGCAACGGUCUACCCAAUGUGGCUCAGCAGUGGAGGGUCCUGGCUGAUAUUGGAACCCAUCCGUUGGCCCACCAUUCUAUCCAAGGGGAAUUCUCCUACCUGACUCUUUCCCUGGGUUCAGGAUGGUAGAGAAUUUCUACAGUAUGAUGGAUGGGGGAAACUGAGGUAAAUCAGAAGGGAUGUUUCUGACAUAUUACUGCUUCAGUUCUCAACCUCGCUAACCAAGACCCUUCAGAGUCCAUAAGCCCUAAGCCUUAAUAACACGUGCUCCAUCCUACACAUACACACACACACACACACACACACACACACACACACACACACACAAACGUCCUCACAGGAUGGUUCCUAUAACUAUUGGACUCCAGAACCACAGACAAUUCAGGGCAUGCUAUUGGUCAUAGGUAGGGGUGAUGAAUCACCUUGGGGACAGAGCAGGGCGAGACUGGUAGAGCUGAUCCUGUGAGGACAGAUGGUGCCCUGUCUCAGAAGAAAGCUCACUCAGAAGAAAGAAGGCCUGGUUUGCUUGGAGGCUGUGAUCUCCUUGUUCUCCUCCCAGUGUGUUAAUUCCAUUUCUUCCCAACAAAGAUUUUUUUAGGACAGGGGGUAUUUAUAGCUCCUCCUAAGCCGUUUUCAGUCUGUUUCCUGUUCAAGUACUGCAUUAGUCACCAGAGAGUGUCUCAGGCAAUCUCCUCUCCCCGCCUGAUCCACAGGGAACAUGGGGAUGCUGGUCAGAAUGAGGGCAGAUCCCAGUGGAAGUGGUCAGGGGAGACAGGAGACUGGCUGGGGAGAUGAAGGAGAGUACCUCUUGGCCCCCAGCCUCUGUGGCAUAAAGCCCCGAGUCUUUAUGGCUUCCUAGAGUCUUGAUGCUUAGUCCUCAGAGACUCAGAAACUGCAGAGGCACCUCUGUUUGCCCGCAUAUUUUUCCCAUUACUUGAUGACCUAUUUGCAUGCAGCUCCUUGCAGAGAAUUUCCUCCUGAGCCAUAUACGGUGAUUUCAUUGCACCACAAACGGAGGCGUCUACUGCAGCCAGCAAUCAAGGCUCCUUCCUGCUCCCUGCUGCUAUCCUCACCUCCCUCCACCCCUUUACUAUAGAUUUCCCAGACUGCUCUGCCCCCUUCAAGCUCAGUUCUCCCCGCACAUAGGUGGUCCUAAAACUUGACCAGCUUCCUCUGAUGAUCUGAGCUGAGUCCUUGUACCCACAGGUCCAAGGAGCAGUGAGGGAGAAGGAACUUCAGGCCAGGGAAUGGUAAAGGAGGCAGAAACUAGCCCACUAUGGUCUUUUGCCUUCUCCCCAUGCCUUUGCUGAUUCUGUUUUUGGCCUGGAAUUCAUCUCUGGACCAUGGUGAAUGCACCAAGGAAUCCAUUGCUGGAAAUCUCCAGCGAACACCAACAUUUCUUAAUGGCCCCUGGCCUCCUUGAGCAUGUCGAUUAACCUUUACUAAUAACUAGUGAAGGAGUUGAGUGCUGGGUUUCUGACCCUGAACUGUCUAGGGACGGCAGAGAAAGAUGGAGAGAAGUUGGAAGUUCUGUUUGCAUAGUGUCACCAGGUGGCCUACAUCCCAGAGAUGGAGAGCUUUCCAAACAGAGAGUCUGAGAACCUCAGAGGUGACUGAUCCUAGGUUGUCCUUGGUGACAAUGGCCUUCUCAGUCCCAACCUCAAGGUUUCCCAAUUCAGAGCAAAGAGCAUGUAACGCCAGCUGGUCAGGGAACACCUCCGUGCCAGGCUGCCUGCUGCGUACUGUGGAAACAAGCACUCAGAAAUAGCCUUGGUGAGAAGGUGCACGAACUAAUGCCACCUUUGGUCCUGCUCAGAGCUGGCAUGCAUACCAGCCCUGAGUGGAGGAAGUGGAGGAAAUCAGGCAUGAGACACGUAUACCAGUGCCAGCCAGGCCCAGGCAUCACAGGGCUGCUCCUGAGCUGUGAUGCACACCUACAAUCUGGCCCAACUAUUUCUAUUUCCAUUCAGUUUCAGUCCUAUGAAAGUCAUUACAGACUGUCUCCCCACAGAGCACACUCAAUUACACCCUUGGGAGGGUGAGAGCCCAGAAGACGCCAUUGGGGAUGGCUGAGUCAGGUUUAGUCAAGGGUGAGCUUGCUUCAGCUAGAGCUAGAGGCCUUGAGACUCAUUUCCAGGGCACGGGGGAUAUCCAGGAGCAGGGUGGGGAUGAGAGCACCAAGCAGAGAACUUCUUUCUUUGAAACCACAGUGGUGGCUUGUGAAUCUAAGCAAUCUAAGCAUCUAAGAAUAACAUGUUCUCCGAUCUCCUCAUGAAGAGUCCCUCUCCUACUUCUACUUUUUAAUUCUGAAGAUCAAUGCAUAUAUUUUUAAAAAGUACAGAAAGCAUACAGAUUCUAUAAAGAACUGCAAAGCAAACACCCCUGGGCUACUGUCAUGAAAUGAAAUGCUGCCGGCAGUUGCAUGUCCCUUACACAUCCCCGUCCGGUUAUAUGCACUUCCUGUCUCUUAGGCAUCUGUGGUGUCAACUUCCUUUUUGUAUGGUUGUACCACCUCAGUUUGCAUCCUGAAAGAAAACACUUUACUUUAACUGCUUUGGGCUUUAAGUGAAUAGAAUCAUGUUAUAGAGUUUCUGGGUAUGUUGCUUCUUUGCUCAGUUAUGUUUAAGAGAUUUACCCAUGUCACUGUGUACUGUUGUUCUGCAUUAAUUCCAUCUUUAUGACUGCAUUGCAUUUCAAGUGUUCCAGGUGUACUUAUUGGUCCUACUGCUGAUGAAGACCUGGGCUGUUUUCAGGUUUGGACUGUUACAAGCAAUCCCAUGGGAGUGUCCUUGACAUAUGCAUCCUGGUACCAAUGUGCACAUUUUCUCCAGGGUUGAUACCUAAGAGUGGAGUUGUUGGGCUAGCUAGAUAAUACAUGGUUUCCCCAGGGCUUGCACUACUUUUGCCCUCUCUCUCUGUUGGUCCUGCAGCUGACACUUGAGAGAGGAAGCCCUGAGGUCAGAGCUGCUGAACCUACACAGAAGCUUUAGGAAGAACAACUCCUGCUGAGAAGCCCAUCCGUGUGUGCUUUUGCCCCUUUUCCUGCACCAUUGUUCAGGCCUCUGCUAUUGCAUCUCCCACCACUAAGUUCAGUGUAUGCUUUCUCUAGGGCUCAGCUCACUGUGGUUCCCAGGCUCACCUGAUCAA
This is a long non-coding RNA of Chinchilla lanigera (long-tailed chinchilla), 4316 nucleotides long. RefSeq lists it as uncharacterized. The record is from RefSeq and is a predicted model, not a curated record. The transcript has 3 exons. Lineage: Eukaryota; Metazoa; Chordata; Mammalia; Rodentia; Chinchillidae.